This is a long non-coding RNA of Syzygium oleosum, 396 nucleotides long. RefSeq lists it as uncharacterized. The transcript is spliced from 3 exons. Lineage: Eukaryota; Viridiplantae; Streptophyta; Magnoliopsida; Myrtales; Myrtaceae. The record is from RefSeq and is a predicted model, not a curated record.
UUCAGGUUAGUUGAUUGGUGUUUGGACUACUGCAAAGUUCGGGAUGUGGACGUUAAUCCACUAGCUCAUCGAGUUUUCUAUGCUGGCUGCCAGGCUAUCAUGUGCGUGCUUUGCUUUCGAAUGAGGUCAAUAAUGAGCAUUCCACGGCCGAAGUCACAGCUUUUCCUCAUGCCGAUAGAAACAAUCCUAAAGCACAAAUCAGAUCCACUAAAGAUAUGCCUGCCAUCAGUAGUGGGGGAAUUUCUUAAACAGGCAAGAGCAGCUGGGCUUUCUGCAGUGUCCAAAACAUUUAUCUGUGAUGACAUACUGGAGUCUUAACUUUCAAGGGCUUUUGGUGGACUGGAGAGGCUAGACAUGUUCUUUCCUGUUGACCCGUGUUUAUUGAAGAAAAGCAAC